Molecule: long non-coding RNA, 8196 nt
Organism: Chelonia mydas (Green sea turtle)
Lineage: Eukaryota; Metazoa; Chordata; Testudines; Cheloniidae
Exons: 10
Source: RefSeq, a predicted model, not a curated record
UCAGGUUGCAUUGGAAUAUAGAGCCAGAUUGUCAGCUGCGAUAAACUAGCAUAACUACGUUAAAGGCAAGGAAACUUCAGGUUUACACCAGCCGAGGAUCUCGCUGAUAGUUUUACCCCCUUGAUCAUGAAAAGCUGGAUGUCACAUGUCAACAACAUAGAGCAAAGGAGUGGGGAAAAGAGAGGUGUGUUUUUAAGCAGGCCAAUGGAAUGAAAUGAACUAAGAACACCAGUGAAGCCCACCUCUUCCCAAAACAGGAGCUGUGGCUGCGCAAGCUUCUUCCUACUCCUGACCUGCUCUGCCAAUGGACCUAAAAGAACUAGCGGUGAGAUGUUCAGGCUUCAUGCUGCUUCAGUCAAUUGUGAUAAGUUUUUUUUCCCUUUGUGAUAUAGAUCCCUAUCUACUAGGAACUGAACCAACGGUACCAACUUUUUCACACUGGUCACUGAACAGCCAUUGGAUGUCAAGUAGCGGGGAGGGAUAGCUCAGUGGUUUGAGCAUUGGCCUGCUAAACCCAGGGUUGUGAGUUCAAUCCUUGAGGGGGCCAUUUGGGGCAAAAAGUGGGGAUUGGUCCUGCUUUGAGCAGGGGCUUGGACUAGAUGACCUCCUGAGGUCCCUUCCAACCCUGAUAUUCUAUGAUUCUAAAUCCAUUCCCUAUAAACCUGACUUGGAUUAAUACCAGUGACUGACAGAUCAAAAGCUCCAUAGCCUGAUACCAAUCUCACAAGUGUCUUAUUUCUCUACAGUUAUCCUCUUUUUCAGUCUUUUCAGUCUGACCGUUAAUUACCUCCUGCUGCAUCGUGUGACUUUAUGUGGUUAGAAUUUCUCUCAUCUGUGAAUUUCACACCGUACAUUUAAAGGCACUGCUGGGUCUGUUGAAGGCAUGUGAGUUGAAUGCUAGAAUGUACGUUGUUUAAAGAAAAUGAGCCGUACGAUAUAUGGGCAGUAGCAUAUUGAAAAAUAUCAUAAAGCCAAGUAUCAUGGACAGGACGCUGUCCACUGUCCAUGUGCAGAGCUGGGUAGAAAACAGAUUUCCAUCCCAAGAAAAAAAUUGAGAUUUUGAAAAAAUGUUCAUCACAAAUCAGGAUGAAAAACCAAAAUUUACAUUUUUUUCAUUGAAACAAAAUUCUGAACAUUUCUGUGUUUCAGGUCUUUGGCAAAGUUUGGCUUCAAUACAUGCAAGAUAUUUUGUUUAUAUUGUGACUCUCUCUUUUUAAUUUUUUUAAGUUUUAAAUAUAAAAAUAAAAUUUCAAGAUUAAAAAGUCCUUUCAAAAUGAAAAAUCAAAACUCUCGAUUCUGAAAAUGUUGAAAUGGGACGUUUCAACAUUUUGGAAGUGUUCUUUCCCCCAAUUCUUUUUUCUAGUUUGUUCUUGUUGAAAUCAAUACAAUUUCACAAAAAGUUUUGAUUGUGUGGAAAUGACAUUUUUUGACAGAAAAUUGACAGAUUUUUUGACCACUUUUAUCCAUGUGUACAGUACUGAGGUAAAUGCCACCCAUGUGUCAUUGCGGAACACUAUCAGUUGUGUCUCUGUAUAGUACGGGUGCACUUCAUCAUCUCAAUCUUAUCUCCAUACACAGGACACUAAGGAUUUUUUGGAAGAGUUACUCUCCUAAAUGAAAUAAAACUGCUGCCCAGCGGGACUCAUCCAUCAUUUAACUAAUGAUUUUACAUCACUGGAAUGCAGAAAAGCAUCUACAAUGAAAAACAAACAAACCCUGUAAACAAUUAAUCUAUUUCACUGAAGGCCAUCAAGUUCUGCCAAAGAUUAGUUUGGACAAUCCAUAAUGCACUUCUGCAGAUAUCAAAGCUUUUUCGAUUUCCAUAGUUCAAAUUUUUAAAGUGACCUUUCUCUGAGUGGGUCCUUUUUAAUAGGAAAUGGAGUUUAUUUCUGAGUGCAGUCACAAAAGUAACUUUUUUCUGUGUUUUUGCAAAAGUGGACCCAUUUGAAGCUCUUAAUGACAUGGAAGACAUGCAAAAUGUCAAGUACUUUUUGCGCCUCUUUCAUGCCCCUCUAGUUAAAACUGUGUUGGGCGCCAACGUUGCAGGAUGCCAUUGACCCAGCAUCUGCAGAAUCCUGCAACACAUGUCCAGUGACUACAGUUAGAUGAGUCAUAUGUAGCACGGGCCAAGUUUCAUCCCAGAAGGAUAAAAACCAGCUACGGCACAGGAACAAACCCCUGAAAAUAACAGGAAUUGGUUUUGUAUUUGGGCUAUAAAAACAGGUUAGAACAGCCUGGCUAUUUGCUUCUAUUUUAAAUUUAAGUGGUAUUACUCUGUUAACCACUUUCCAUUUUUGCUUCUUUUUACCAUGACAUAAGAACACGAGAUAUUUUAGAAACCAGAACAGGGCCAUUUGCACCAGUAUGGCCUGAUGCUAAUUUCUGUCCAUUACCUGAACUGACCCUCAUUCCAGAGAUGAACUGUCUGUUUCUUAACAUAGGCCUCCCACAAAACUUCCCAUCCCCUUUAACCUAUGAUAAACCCCAUAGGGGUUGAGUGCUCUCAGAGAGGAGGAUGGAAGGACUGGAGGAAAGCUACCUUUUGCCCCUCCUCCUGCUCCACUCUGAUUGACAUUGUACAACACAAGAUCCUCCUGGUAGGGAUUGUUGGUACAAUUUUCAGUAUCUUCUGAGUCACUUAGGAGAUACUGAAGUCACGUUUUCCAAAAGCACUUAGGCAUCCAAGCGUCAUAAAAAGUCAAUAGGGCAUAGGCUUCUAAGGGUCAGAUUUUUAAACGUAUUUAGGCAACUAAAGAUGAUGUUAGGUGCCUAGUGUGAUUUUCAAAAGUGAUGAGCCUAAAUCCCAUUGAAAUAAAUGGGAGUUAGGUGCCUAGAUGCUUUUGAAAAUCUCACUAGGCGUUGAUCUGAGUCUUUAACUGCCCAAAUACCAUUAAAAAUCUGAUCCUUGGUGCCUAAAUCACUUUUGAAAAUGGGAUUCCUAAAUAGAGCUGGGAGAAAUUUUUCAGAUGAAUCUUUUUUUUCCACCGAAAAAUGCGGAUUUGUGUUGACUGAAAUAGUUCACAAAUUCAUGUCAAAUUCACCAAAUCGUUGUAGUCAGAAAAAAAAAAUUCAAAUUCAGAAGAAGUCAAAACGUUUCGUUUACAUCUGUUCAAAAUGAAACGUUCUGACUUUUCAAUUUGAAACAGUUUUUUAAAAGAUUUAGUUCAUUUUUCCCCAAACGUUAAAAAAACCACAAAACUGAAAUGAAAUGUUUUCUUUUUGGUCAAACAAAACGUUUUUGGGGUUUUUUUUACAUGAAAUUAAACUUCUUUGACUUUUGCAGCUCACUGAAAUAUUGACAAAAAUAUUUUGAAUGGUUCCCAAACUAUUUUUGUUUUCAAGCUUUGGGUCAGCCACUGAACCGAAAAAUUGGUUAUUCGCACAGCUUUCCUCGUAAGUCAUGCGUCUGUAUUUAGAUAUAAAUAUCAAUAUGUGAAGUUGCAACUCCAUGCACACCCAUGGCAGCAUUAUACACAAAAGUUCAAUAAGAAUGACAGAUGAGGACAAUGCCUUCUGAUGGUAUGUUAGUGCUGCAUUUUGUGGACAGACAGCGUCAAUAGGCUCUUGGGGACCACAUUGAUUGGAACAGCUGAGGGUCAAGAUAACAGAUAUUUAAUUUGAUGUAUUUAAAGCUCUUCAGCAGGGAGUAGGACUCCUGUUGCUGAAGAGAUAGGGUGGGGCACACAAUUAUAGCCUUUCCCUCUUGCAGACCCCUGUAGCUCGCACAAGGAUGGUACAACUUUUCAAAUAACAAAGGUAUUUCCUGAGAGAGCCCAACCACAAGGCUAUGUCUGCACUAGGGAUUUGCCCCAGUUUCAGUCAUCAGGAGUCCUGCCGCCCCAAGCGUGAAAAAAAAAAAAAAGCCGGAGUGCCACCGAAGCAAAAAAACAAACAAACAAAAAAGGCCAGAGUGCCGCUCCUUGCCACCCUAAGCACAUGCUUGGUUUGCUGGUGCCUAGAGCCGACCCUGCCACCCGCUGAUGUUAUGGCCCAAUGCAAACCCCUAGAGUAGAUGGGAUUGUUAAACUGCAAUCUGCACUGUUGCAAUUUAUCCUGGCUGGGCAUCUCUGUUUUCCUCUGUUCUCCUGUAUGUUUGGGUGUGGUUUAGUGGGUAUGGCUGGUGGCCAGAUCUAGAGAGAAUCUCAAAACACAUACAGUGACAUAGCGAGGAUUAUUUUACAGAGGGGUAAACAAAUCUCCUUUUCCCCCCCUCCCCUUAACAGUAGGUUGGUAAAGCCGGUGAAUUUUAAUAGAGCCCUAAAAAAAAAAAAAAAAGUGUCUGCUUGUUUCCUAGGUACACCACAUUACCCACAGCGAGUCUUACCGCUCCCCGAGAAAGUUUGUGCAAGUCCUAAAAUAAUUUCAUCCCACUGGCCCACAAAUAUUCCCAUUUGGUAAGCCUUAUAUAGAGUAAUUAUUGUUUAACAUGGCACCACAGCUAGGCCAGGGUUUAUUUUGGGUUCUGUGUUAUAAAAAGCCGUUUGUAAAAAAAAUUACUGUAUUUUCCUAUCUGUCAUGUUGAACAAACGGGUCUAGAAACUUGUUCGUUGACUUUGUUGUUGUUUGUUUUGCUUUAAGAGUCCGCAUUCAUCAAAGUGCUGGCAUCAGUACCAAAGCCAUCUCAUCAUCGCAGCCCGGCGUAUUUAAACGUGUCUGCACUUUAAUUAUAGAAAUGUCUCUGGCAGGUAGCCGGUUGUUGUGGGACUAUUGACCUACGUUGGUGGAAGACACAUGUUUGGAAGAGGGGGUGAAACCUUAACAACCACAAAUGUAAGAAACUGAAUAUCAUUGGCAGGUAACAGGUGUGACCUUUGAGGAGGAAGUUAAGCUAAAACUCUGACCUGCUUCCCUUUUCACUGUUUUCCAAAUGGCACUUAGCACUUCAAAUGCUCAAAGCGCAGCACGGCUGUUAAGCAACUAAUUCCCACAACUGCUUUGUAAGGUAGGUAAAUGUAUUAGUCCUGUUUUUCAAAUGGAGAAACUGAGGCAGAAAGAGGUAAGUGAAUUGCCCCAGUCUACAUGGGUGAGUUAGCUUGGAUUAGAACAAAGGAGCUUCUGGCUCCUUUCCUUAUGCUCAUUUCUCCAGACCAUGCUGCUUUGGAUAGCAAAGUUCUUUCUAAUUUUAAUAACUGGUUGUACAAACUACCAUGUAUAUGUAUAACAAUUGCUUUGCCCAUUUUUGAAAUGCAGCUACCUCGCGGGUGGGAAACAGCUGCUGUUUAAUGGUGCGUAGCAAUACUUUGCAAUAUUUUAGAACAGGAUGGGAAGAAUAUUACAUUUAGUGAUGUAAUUACUCAAGUUGGAACUUGGCCAAGACCUCAAAAUUAACACCACAUACUCUUACAAAGAUGGUCAUAGCAUCUUUAAUGAUCACAAAGGAGGCAAGUGUUAUCUAGGAGUUAGAGCAAGGAUCUCUGAGUCAAGACUCAGAUUCAGUUCUUAAUUUUCCCAGUGUCUCAUUGCAUGACUCAGAGGAAUUCCUCUCACCUUUCUGUGCCUCAGUUUUACUCGUAAAAUGGAGUUAGUAAUACUCAAUUACCUUGAAUGGGGCAGGUUAGGGGCUAAAUUAAUGUUCGUAAAGCCUUUAAUGACCUAGAGCAACACGUGUAACAGUAUUAUUACAAGUGGUGUGGAUCUUGGCUUUAUUAAUGGUAAGAAGUACUAGUGCAAAGAAGGCUGGGACCGAAUGGAGGAACCAAAUGUAGAUAGAGUUCAUUGUUAUCUGUGGGGGAAAUGAUCCAAGGCACACAUCGCAGUUGUGUCCACACACACAAAAUGACACGUUCUUUGCUCCAGAGAACGUACAGUCUGAGUUAGAUAAAUAUACAGCAGAUCGACAUGUUUGCUGGACAGGUAGAUAGUUGUAUUUUUUUUCUAAUUUCUCAGGUUUCUCAGGGAGUUUUUCUAAGUUCUCAGGUGCUGUUUUCUCUUCAGUUUGUAGGACAUUUCAUUGUGUAACUCCUCAUUAACUUUUAAGAGGAGCUACCAUUUUAAGAAGAUUUUAAAGGUUUUUACCCACACGAAUAUGCUCCAAGGAGCCUCUGAGUUUCCAGAUUAUGGAUUAAGGUGGGAGUUGGUUGUUUUGUCUCAGGAUGCGUGAAGUGGUUGGAACAAAAUAGGAACCAGACCAAACCUCCAUCUAAAAUUUAAACCAAACUUGUCUGUGAGGCUUUUGUUCUCACAACGGCGUCUGAAUUUUUUGUCAUAGACCAAGAAUACCAAAAGAAAAGCCUUUGCACAUGGUACUUCAGGCGUCACGGGAAGCAGGUUGUGUCAUGAUAUACGGAAUGAUAGAAAACAAAGACAGAUACAGAUUACCACACAGCUUGAAUUCUAAACUUUGCCUCCUUUGUUUAUCACAGACCACACCCUGCAUGAAACCCUGUACAGCCCGUAGAGACAUCUAGUGGCUGAAUAAUACCCUGCAAGUAAACAGACAGUAGAAGAAGCUGAAGUUGAAGAGAGCUGUUUCUCGUGGUGUUUCCAAGCUGAAGGGAAGAGAUGUUUUGUUUCCUUUUCUAUAUUUUCUGCCAUGUCAUGCCCCAAUCCAAGUCUCCUCUGCAUGCAUCCUGUGCCGUCUUCCCUCUGAAUCUUGAUCUGCAAAGGAGUGAGGAGAAAACAGUUUUUCAUGCUGAUCUAUUUUUGUUCAUGUAGGUCACUGCUGUUCAGACUUGGAUGUGAAGAGAGGCAGGCUCAAGACCACUCUGUCUUCCUUUGCUUGAGAAACGCAGCUACCGCACUAGCACAGGACUGGCCUGGGGAACACAGCAGAAAACAAUUUUCAGGAUCUCCCUUGGCAACUGAGUUGACUGGACUUCCACCAGCUUUUGUUUCUCUAAAGAUCCAGAAACGUUUUCCAUUUCCUGAUGGUAGACGCGUGAGUCACUGCGGCUGGAGAACGUGGAAGACAAAUCAGAGCCUCUGAAGCAAAUUUGAUGCAACUGAAAUCAGGACUGUAUUUGAAGAGAUCAAGAAAUAGAGAGCAUUUCUUUUUUCCACUCCGGUGUUUAGGGAUAUGUUUGUCGAAGAGUUGGGCCUAGCAAGAUGGGCAGCGCAUGGGCAAUAAGUAUUCACGUGAAGUACCACUGCGAAGACAUUUCCCUACACAUCUCAGAAGAACGUACUAAGUUAUGGCAAAAACAGCGAUUGAGAAAUAGCCGCCCCUCCAUCAACUCAUAAUGCCUAGUGGCACUUGUUGAGACAAGGAAAAGGAAUAACUCCAAUCUCCUACUCAGCAUCGCCUCUCUCAGGAAAACAGCCUCUAAUGCUCAAAGCUAGUUGGGUGGAGACAAGGCAGCGAUGAAGCUGGUGGGCCGAGGAAGCAACGGGCAUUACUGAAAUGAUCUCUCCUCCACCACUGAAGGGACUCUAUUAGCUCCCAGAAAGAAGAUGCCUGAUCAGAAGAGGCAGCUGGUUAGACCCACUAGUAACUGCUGGAUUACCACACGCUAUACACUUACUUUAAAAAGAUCCUACUGAAAAAGCAACACAAGAGACAGAACUUGGAGGCUUCAAAAGUGAACAACGGAGAGAAUGAAAAGCCCUUCACUGUCUUCUAUACUCUUUUUGUUUGUUUCAACCUGACUACAUUAAGCACCUCUGCAUUAUAUUAACAUGUUCUUGACUAGGAGUGGGAUUUUUCAGAAUAGCCUCCGGGAGUUACGUGCCACUGGGAACUGAGUGUCUAACUCCUUUAGGGUUAUUUUAAAACUCCAGACUUCAACUGCUGUAUUAAUUUUCUGACUUUUGAUUUUUGUUGCAAUUUGGGAGUUAAAUGAAAAAACCUGGAAAAAAGUCAACUGAAGUUUGGUAUGGUUUUUGACCAGUUCUGUUAUUGAUAAAUGUUUCUGUAUGCAACCCAAAGAAAGAGUAGCCAUAACUGCUGUUGUAAAUGCCCUUGUUUCGUCCUGUCUGCAGUUUUAAUUUUCAGGACAUAGUGGGCUGCUGAUCUUGCUCCUGUAGUUUUGCCCUCACAGAUACCUGCAGAUGCACUUUGUACUACUUAGAUGUCUAUGCAUUAUUGCCAACCUCCGGCCUUCCAAAACUGUGAGAUUAUCUUAAAACUCAUGAGAUUUUUUUUUAAAUAUACAUUUUGGAUUUGCUUUAUUUGCCUUAUAGUUUUAGAAUAUUUAGGUUACACUUGGGUCACAUUUUCAACCUUUACUCUGCAACCAUAAGGGCUAGAAAUUUUUUUUU